GCCCUCACAACGCCUCCCUGCAGGAGGGGCCAGCCUCGGCUCCGAACUGUGCUUCAGGCCGGGCUUGUUUGAAGUUCUCCUUGGGAUGGGAAGUAACAGGAGUGGUGAUCCAAAGAUAGGUCAGAGGUGGUUGGUGUCGUUGUCCUGGAAGUGGAAUAGACUGAAAAGGUGCAUUUCUGACAACAAUUAUGCUUACGACGGUGAACCGUGGAGCAUGGGCCGCCAUGGGAGAGCUCCCUGUGCGCCUCCCUCACAGCUCCUGCGCUGGGAGUCGGCUCUGUAUCUCUGUGGCUACGGCACAAAAGUUCUAGGGGUCAAACUUUGUCUGGGAGAACAAAGAGGAACAAAAGAUUUUACAGAAGAACACUUUGGAAGAUCCUUGUCUAUCCCAGGGAAUAUUUUCUGGCUCUACAGAGAGCCACAGGAUUUUUGCUAUCACACAGCAUUUAAAGGGGAGCCUCACUGCUAUCUGUGCUGUUUUGAAGUCAUAACAACAACGAGCUGAAUAACUUUAAAAAAUCAUUAUUUUUAGAUGUGAAAUGGAACUUCAUUUACAUGCAGUUAAUGUCAAUAUGAAAAGUUUGCUCUAGUAAAUAUGUGCUCUGAUAGGAGCUGCUGGAAUAAAAAAUAAAGGCAAAUUAUUAUAAAUUCAGCAAUUCUGAGCAGCUGCCCUUUUUAUCUUUGAAAUAAAUGCCUGGAUUUUUUUUUUUUUUUUUUUUUUUUUUUUUAGUAAUUGAAUUAGGCUACUAUGAAAGCACAAAAGUAGUCUGUCUAUUUCUGUCUGAGGAUAUUGUGAAUAUUUGCACUGUACUGCUCUUUUUUGACGCUAUGGGUAAUGGCAGAAGCAGCAUGGAUUAAACCUUUCUCACAGAGCAUGGCAUAGGCUGUAAUAGAAGUCUCUCAAAAGAAAAAAUCAUUGCUUUGAAAAACCUCAAAAGAUACAUUAAAAAAAGAGGCUCCAUGCUUAUGGGUAUGGUAACCCUUGAUAAAAGGCUACACAGUCUUGGCUCUCAAAACACUCUUGAAAUUAAAUUAAAUCCAUUGAAAUUCUUUAGUAAAGGCCUAAGAAGUAAUAGCUUUUAUUCUGUCAGUGUGCCCUACUGGAUCUUUCCCUUCCAAGCCACCUGAGAUCCUCCUCUUAAUAGCAGAGAUGAUUGUAGACGUGUGUCCCAGAAUCCACAACACUACAGCAGUUCAUCUGUCCAUUUCACUUCUCCCCCUUUUUGAGAUAGGGGUUGAAUACUGUAUGCAAAGUACUGAGAGUCUCAGAAAAUACUCUUUUUCUGCCUCUUUCUGGCCACUUGACUCCUCUUCACCUUCAGAACAAAACCAGCUCUGCUUUUAUGAAAUAAGCUGUGACAGUACGAGCAGCCGUUCCUGCAUUUUGCCCAUGCCAGCAGCUGCCCAGGGCCUCAUGCUGAGUCUGACCUUCAGGCAGGCUUCUGCUCCCAGCUGCAGGUGUAGCACUCCAGCCCUUUUGCCGGCUCCUACAGCCAUGUUUUUAAUGAAUCCCACAUGGGAAGAAGAGGAACAGACAUGGUGAUGAAAAGACAAGGCUUUCACCUUGCAAGCUUCAGUGAUGUGCAGGGGCUCACCUGCAUAUGUCAAAUAAAUGCUGUGCUACAGUGUCAAUUGGGAUGUUGUGCAAACUGUCUGUAAUAGCAACAGGUUGAUAUAUUUUUCAUCAUGUGCAUAUUAUGUCCCAUAUCCUCCAGGAAAGAACCCCAACAGGAAUGUGUGCUGCUACCCUGGGGACUGCUCUGAAGCAUUACUGCUCUGCAGUAUGUGAAACACCUGUUGUUAUAAGCAUUGAUGAUACUGAAGAAAUAACAAGGCUCUACAGCAUAGAAACCUGUGUCAAUAGAGUAUCAGCACUAUGAACUUGUGACAUUUUAAGAUGGCUUGUAAUGUGUGUGAAACAAAUGAACUGAAUGGCUUAGAGGCAUGGAAACUGAGGGAGGGAGAUACAGACCCUGAUGUACAAGGGCACACAGGAAGCAAUGUUCAAGAGAUAAGGGAAUACCCAGUGACCUGCAAUGAAACCAGAAUGUAAAGAUUUUGGAAAAGACUGUUUG
This is a long non-coding RNA of Haemorhous mexicanus (house finch), 2075 nucleotides long. RefSeq lists it as uncharacterized. The record is from RefSeq and is a predicted model, not a curated record. The transcript is spliced from 4 exons. NCBI's taxonomy places the organism in Eukaryota, Metazoa, Chordata, Aves, Passeriformes, Fringillidae.